AGUCUGCAACUCGACUCCAUGAAGCUGGAUUCGCUAGUAAUCGCGCAUCAGCCAUGGCGCGGUGAAUACGUUCCCGGGCCUUGUACACACCGCCCGUCAAGCCAUGGAAGCCGGGAGUGCCUGAAGUGUGCAACCGCAAGGAGCGCCCUAAGGUAAAACUCGGUGACUGGGGCUAAGUCGUAACAAGGUACC
RNAcentral lists this ribosomal RNA (192 nucleotides) under uncultured bacterium. RNAcentral's name for it is "partial 16S ribosomal RNA". It matches the Rfam family "Bacterial small subunit ribosomal RNA", at positions 1302 to 1500 of the family's 1533-position model. The record is from RNAcentral.